Non-coding RNA from Camelina sativa (false flax), 592 nucleotides. NCBI's taxonomy places the organism in Eukaryota, Viridiplantae, Streptophyta, Magnoliopsida, Brassicales, Brassicaceae. The record is from RefSeq and is a predicted model, not a curated record.
UUUUUUUUUUUUUGUAAACCCUACUCCUUCUCUAUCUCUUCUUCAUUCUUCUCCUCCUCCUUGAUCUCGUUUAUUCAAAAAACGAAAUCUCCUCCCCAGAUCUCUUUACACAAAACCCCAAAUCAAUUAACCCAUUGGCCACUAUCCCUUUUCCUUCCUCAGAUCUCUGAGUUCCAUCUACAGCCUUCGGCAGUUCAACACCACCACAUCUCCAAGGCUCCGCCGUUGUUCACCACAGCAAAUCUUGAAGCUUACGCUGUUCACCACCACCAUAGCUCGAAAGUCUCGCCGUCCUUCACCACCACUACAUCUCAAAGAUCUUGUCGCCGUCAACACUCUUCAAUGUUUAAAAGGUAAAUCUCUCGUUUUACUUCUCAAAUCAACAAAAAAACAGUUGGAUUUUCUUUUAUUUCUUAGGAUCCAAAGAAGGGAAAGCAUAUAGAGAAGAAUCUGUCCAGUGAAAAAAAGAGAACGGCGGAGAGGUGGCGGAGGAGAGCGGCGGAGAGCAAAAACCUUUCUCUGUUGAAGCAUUUUUUAUUUUCUAUUUCAAUUUUAUUUUAUAUAAUUAAAAUCAUUUUUGCAAUUUAAUAAA